This 727-nucleotide long non-coding RNA is filed under the name Dromaius novaehollandiae (emu). RNAcentral's name for it is "lncRNA (ENSDNVG00000007082.1)". The record is from RNAcentral. Lineage: Eukaryota; Metazoa; Chordata; Aves; Casuariiformes; Dromaiidae.
UCUUCAUCCUCUUCUUCUUUCCCUCCUCUCUCUCCCUUUCUUUGUCAUUUUGUUUGGAGAUAAUCUGCCCCAGGAUGGCACACGGUGAACACAGGGCUGCCUUCCUACAAUAGAGCUUUAAGCCAACUUACCUCUGACAGCAGCAGCAUCCAGUCCCCCAAGGUGAAAAGAGAUGACAGAUUGGAGCUGUUCGGUUGAUGGAUGAGAUUCUUCUUCUCUUCCUUCUUUUUUUUUUUUAAUUUACUAAACAAAAUCUCAUCUUCCCCCACGCCUAAGGGAAAAAAAACCUGCCUUUCCCCCAUCACCCUUCAUGGGGAAAGAGGGAAUAUUCAUUUCAUCAAUUAUUUUUUUUUUAUUUUUAACUAACUAGCCAGCUCUUUACUUCAAAAGAGAAUAUUUAUUUUUGGGAUUUAAUAUAUCCAUCCUUAUACUGGAAAGAAAAUAACAAGCAGGGGCAACUUCUUAUCCGCUUCUCUGAGAGAGCUCGACGACCAUCUGUGGGACGAACGAAGAGCAGAAAUGAGAACUGGUCCCUGCCCAGCGACCAGGCACAGAGCGKGGAGGCCAGGCCGUUGGGUGCUGCGCGUGCCCCUGAUGCCAGCCGCGCUGCUCCUCCUCCUCGGCCCAGCCGGCUACAUCUCCGAGCCUGCUCUGUUGCCAUUCCCAGGUGAGCGUCUCCUCUUAGAGCUGCUUUUCUCUGGAAAGUUCUGUAGUUGAAAAAAUGCAU